Molecule: transfer RNA, 64 nt
Filed under: Heterogamodes hebraica
Lineage: Eukaryota; Metazoa; Arthropoda; Insecta; Blattodea; Corydiidae
Description: tRNA-His
Source: RNAcentral
ACUUAAGUAGUUUAAAAUAAAAUUUUGAUUUGUGGUGUCAAUGAUGUAUAAUUUACCUUGAGUU